GAUGAACGCUAGCGGCAGGCUUAAUACAUGCAAGUUGAGGGGCAGCAUGAUAUACGCGAGUAUAUUGAUGGCGACCGGCGGACGGGUGAGUAAUAGGUAGGAGACCUACCUCAUACAGGGGGAUAGCAUAGAGAAAUCUGUGGUAAUACCCCAUGAGGUUAUAUGAAUAGAGGCAUAUAAUCAAAGCAUAAGCGAUUAUGCGGUAUGAGAGGGGCCUACUGACCAUUAGCUAGUUGGUGAGGUAAGGGCUCACCAAGGCGAAGAUGGUUAGGGGUUUUGAGAGAGAGACCCCCCACAUUGGAACUGAGAGACGGUCCAGACUCCUACGGGAGGCAGCAGUAGGGAAUAUUGGGCAAUGGGCGAAAGCCUAGACCCAGCCAUGCCGCGUGAAGGGAAGACGGCCUUAUGGGUUGUAAACUUCUUUACUACGCGAAUAGAGGUUAGUACGAGAUACUAAUAGGAAGGUAGUGUAAGUAAAAGCAACCGGCUAACUCCGUGCC
This 500-nucleotide ribosomal RNA is filed under the name uncultured bacterium. RNAcentral describes it as "bacterial SSU rRNA". It matches the Rfam family "Bacterial small subunit ribosomal RNA", at positions 28 to 509 of the family's 1533-position model. The record is from RNAcentral.